Molecule: ribosomal RNA, 492 nt
Filed under: uncultured bacterium
Lineage: Bacteria
Description: partial 16S ribosomal RNA
Rfam family: Bacterial small subunit ribosomal RNA
Source: RNAcentral
AGUGAACGCUGGCGGUAGGCCUAACACAUGCAAGUCGAACGGCAGCACAGUAAGAUCUUGCUCUUACGGGUGGCGAGUGGCGGACGGGUGAGGAAUACAUCGGAAUCUACUUUUUCGUGGGGGAUAACGUAGGGAAACUUACGCUAAUACCGCAUACGACCUACGGGUGAAAGCAGGGGAUCUUCGGACCUUGCGCGAUUGAUUGAGCCGAUGUCGGAUUAGCUAGUUGGCGGGGUAAAGGCCCACCAAGGCGACGAUCCGUAGCUGGUCUGAGAGGAUGAUCGGCCACACUGGAGCUGAGACACGGUCCAGACUCCUACGGGAGGCAGCAGUGGGGAAUAUUGGGCAAUGGGCGCAAGCCUGAUCCAGCCAUACCGCGUGGGUGAAGAAGGCCUUCGGGUUGUAAAGCCCUUUUGUUGGGAAAGAAAAGCAGCAGGUUAAUACCCCGCUGUUCUGACGGUACCCAAAGAAUAAGCACCGGCUAACUUCGUG